AGUAAUGCUUGGGAAUCUAGCUUAUGGAGGGGGAUAACUACGGGAAACUGUAGCUAAUACCGCGUAAUAUCGGAAGAUUAAAGUGUGGGACCUUCGGGCCACAUGCCAUAGGAUGAGCCCAAGUGGGAUUAGGUAGUUGGUGAGGUAAAGGCUCACCAAGCCGACGAUCUCUAGCUGGUCUGAGAGGAUGACCAGCCACACUGGGACUGAGACACGGCCCAG
Molecule: ribosomal RNA, 222 nt
Filed under: uncultured bacterium
Lineage: Bacteria
Description: partial 16S ribosomal RNA
Rfam family: Bacterial small subunit ribosomal RNA
Source: RNAcentral